This 497-nucleotide ribosomal RNA is filed under the name uncultured bacterium. Its description in RNAcentral is "partial 16S ribosomal RNA". It matches the Rfam family "Bacterial small subunit ribosomal RNA", at positions 28 to 507 of the family's 1533-position model. The record is from RNAcentral.
GAUGAACGCUGGCGGCGUGCCUAGUACAUGCAAGUCGAGCGAACGGACGAGAAGUUUGCUUCUCUGAUGUUAGCGGCGGACGUGUGAGUAACACGUGGAUAACCUCCCUAUAAGACUGGGAUAACUUCGGGAAACCGGAUCUAACACCGGAUAAUAUCUUGAACCGCAUGGUUCAAAAGUGAAAGACGGUCUUGCUGUCACUUAUAGAUGGAUCCGCGCUGCAUUAGCUAGUUGGUAAGGUAACGGCUUACCAAGGCAACGAUGCAUAGCCGACCUGAGAGGGUGAUCGGCCACACGGGAACUGAGACACAGUCGAGACUCCUACGGGAGGCAGCAGUAGGGACUCUUACGCAAUGGGCGAGAGCCUGACGGAGCAACGCCGCGUGAGUGAUGAUGGACUUAGGAUCGUAAAACUCUGUUAUUAGGGGGAAACAUAUGUGUAGGUGACUGUGCACAUCUUGACGGUACCUAAUCAGAAAGCCACGGCUAACUACGUG